GACAUAACACGUGAGUCAUAAUAAUUCCUUUAUAUACCUUUCAUUUUUUAAUUUAUUUAGAUUUAUAUUAAAUCUUUUUAAAAUUAAUUUAUUUAAGCACUAUAUAGGAUGAUAAUUCUUAUAAAUUAAUCAUGAUUACAGAUAUAAAAUAAAUGGGUUUUAUUUUUAUCAGACUCUUGAACAGAAAGAAAACAAUAAAAACAGUGACUGGCUUUUCCAACAGCUAUCAUCGUCGAAGUGAGGGGAGGUACUAGAGUGUUUUCCGCUGGCGACUAAUCUCGGCAGAGCAGCGGCGAUGGGUGAUGGAGAUGAGUGGGAAACGGGAUGGUGCGGUGGCGGAGGGGUUUCGCCAGUCGGAUUUGGCCGUUUUUCUGGCAUAGGGGUGGCUGCCAUGGGUUUUCGCCGAAAAUCGAACAAACUCCGUCCAGAUCAGGCCGUGUUGGUGGUUGUCGGCGGCGAUUUUGCCAUUAAUGUCAUCAACAAUGAUUAUGUUAUUUUUUCGGCGAAAUUUCGCCGGGAAAUCAAAACAAUAAACAAUUGUUUUCUACUUAUUUCUUACUGUUUUCUAUCUUGCUUCAUUUUUAUUCUACUGAUUUUUAAUUAAUUUCUAAGUUAUGUAUGGUUCUGUAUGUAUAGUGUAUGAUUGAACUGUGAUUAUUUUAAUCAGCAUGAUGUGAC
This 678-nucleotide long non-coding RNA is filed under the name Capsicum annuum. RNAcentral describes it as "long non-coding RNA (CANN_LNC004394)". Lineage: Eukaryota; Viridiplantae; Streptophyta; Magnoliopsida; Solanales; Solanaceae. The record is from RNAcentral.